This is a small nucleolar RNA of Musca domestica (house fly), 96 nucleotides long. RefSeq annotates it as small nucleolar RNA Me28S-Gm1083. The record is from RefSeq and is a predicted model, not a curated record. NCBI's taxonomy places the organism in Eukaryota, Metazoa, Arthropoda, Insecta, Diptera, Muscidae. The transcript has a single exon.
UUUUAAAAUGAUGACAAAUUCUUUCGCCCCUAACUGAAAGUUUUGGAAACUUCUCAUGUUGAAUGCGAAUAUGAUUGGUCUUACUGAAAAUUAGAU